CCAUCAUGUCGUGAUCCCGCGAUUCCAGCUGCCUCACAAGACAGGAACCACCGGUUUGGCAAUUCCCUUAAACACUUUGUCCCGCAGCCCUGGCUCAUCCAUCAGACGGACAAAGACCAAGUGCUCCAUGGGGAAGCCCAUAGGGCCAGAGUAGUAUCGGGGGCGCGAGGAUGAGGAGUACAGGUAGGCGGUGCUGGAUGCUCGUGAGCUGAAUGCUGAC
Molecule: long non-coding RNA, 220 nt
Organism: Thunnus maccoyii (southern bluefin tuna)
Lineage: Eukaryota; Metazoa; Chordata; Actinopteri; Scombriformes; Scombridae
Exons: 3
Source: RefSeq, a predicted model, not a curated record